UGGGGAAUAUUGCACAAUGGGCGCAAGCCUGAUGCAGCCAUGCCGCGUGUGUGAAGAAGGCCUUCGGGUUGUAAAGCACUUUCAGCGAGGAGGAAGGGGUUGAGUUUAAUACGCUCAAUCAUUGACGUUACUCGCAGAAGAAGCACCGGCUAACUCCGUGCCAGCAGCCGCGGUAAUACGGAGGGUGCAAGCGUUAAUCGGAAUUACUGGGCGUAAAGCGCACGCAGGCGGUUUGUUAAGUCAGAUGUGAAAUCCCCGCGCUUAACGUGGGAACUGCAUUUGAAACUGGCAAGCUAGAGUCUUGUAGAGGGGGGUAGAAUUCCAGGUGUAGCGGUGAAAUGCGUAGAGAUCUGGAGGAAUACCGGUGGCGAAGGCGGCCCCCUGGACAAAGACUGACGCUCAGGUGCGAAAGCGUGGGGAGCAAACAGG
RNAcentral lists this ribosomal RNA (429 nucleotides) under uncultured Yersinia sp. Its description in RNAcentral is "bacterial SSU rRNA". It matches the Rfam family "Bacterial small subunit ribosomal RNA", at positions 355 to 776 of the family's 1533-position model. Lineage: Bacteria; Pseudomonadati; Pseudomonadota; Gammaproteobacteria; Enterobacterales; Yersiniaceae. The record is from RNAcentral.